UUAACUAUUAUAUAGUACUCAGACCGCAGUGAUUCAAGAGUUAGGCCUCUGGCAGACACGACCCAGCCGAAGCCGGAGGCCUGCCAAAGCAACAAAGUUGAUAUACAAAGGGUGAGAAUAGCGUCCGAAGACGUAAAUUCUUUAAUGAUCCUUCCGCAGGUUCCGUUGACUCCCGGCAGUUGCCAGCCGGGACGGGCUCUAUCUCAAGCUCACUUACUGAGCCCACACUCAUUGAGUCUCUGAACCCCGGGUAGGGGCUGCGGAUUUCCCUCCAAGGAGGGCCUUUCCGCACGUUGAGCGUGUCGCCUCCAGGGGAGACUAGCAAGCCGGAGCUCACUGUGGUAGGCAAAACUUGACCUACGGAAA
This 366-nucleotide unclassified non-coding RNA is filed under the name uncultured fungus. Its description in RNAcentral is "sequence contains ITS1". The record is from RNAcentral. Lineage: Eukaryota; Fungi.